This 253-nucleotide ribosomal RNA is filed under the name uncultured bacterium. RNAcentral's name for it is "partial 16S ribosomal RNA". It matches the Rfam family "Bacterial small subunit ribosomal RNA", at positions 524 to 776 of the family's 1533-position model. The record is from RNAcentral.
UACGUAGGGGGCGAGCGUUGUCCGACUUCACUGGGCGUAAAGCGCGCGUCGGCGGACUUUUAAGUUGGUGGUGAAAUGCCGAGGCUCAACCUCGGAACUGCCUCCAAAACUGGGAGUCUUGAGGUAUGGAGAGGGAAGUGGAAUUCCAGGUGUAGCGGUGAUAUGCGUAGAUAUCUGGAGGAACACCCGUGGCGAAGGCGGCUUCCUGGUCAUAUCCUGACGCUGAGGUGCGAAAGCCAGGGGAGCGAACGGG